UCAGAACGAACGCUGGCGGCAUGCCUAACACAUGCAAGUCGAACGAGGCCCUUCGGGGUUUAGUGGCGCACGGGUGCGUAACGCGUGGGAAUCUGCCCUUUGGUUCGGAAUAACAGCUGGAAACGGCUGCUAAUACCGGAUGAUGACGAGAGUCCAAAGAUUUAUCGCCAGAGGAUGAGCCCGCGUUGGAUUAGGUAGUUGGUGGGGUAAAGGCCUACCAAGCCGACGAUCCAUAGCUGGUCUGAGAGGAUGAUCAGCCACACUGGGACUGAGACACGGCCCAGACUCCUACGGGAGGCAGCAGUGGGGAAUAUUGGACAAUGGGCGCAAGCCUGAUCCAGCAAUGCCGCGUGAGUGAUGAAGGCCCUAGGGUUGUAAAGCUCUUUUACCCGGGAAGAUAAUGACUGUACCGGGAGAAUAAGCCCCGGCUAACUCCGUGC
This 440-nucleotide ribosomal RNA is filed under the name Sphingomonas parapaucimobilis. RNAcentral describes it as "bacterial SSU rRNA". It matches the Rfam family "Bacterial small subunit ribosomal RNA", at positions 24 to 508 of the family's 1533-position model. The record is from RNAcentral. Lineage: Bacteria; Pseudomonadati; Pseudomonadota; Alphaproteobacteria; Sphingomonadales; Sphingomonadaceae.